This 389-nucleotide ribosomal RNA is filed under the name uncultured bacterium. RNAcentral's name for it is "bacterial SSU rRNA". It matches the Rfam family "Bacterial small subunit ribosomal RNA", at positions 335 to 729 of the family's 1533-position model. The record is from RNAcentral.
ACUCCUACGGGAGGCAGCAGUGGGGAAUAUUGUACAAUGGGCGCAAGCCUGAUGCAGCAACGCCGCGUGAGGGAUGACGGCCUUCGGUUGUAAACCUCUUUAGCGAGGAAGAAGACGAAAGUGACGGUACCUGCAAGAAAAGACACCGGCUAACUACGUGCCAGCAGCCGCGGUAAGUACGUAGGUGCAAGCGUUGUCCGGAAUUAGUUGGGACGUAAAGAGCUCGUAGGCGGUUUGUCACGUCUGCUGUGAAAAUCCAAGGCUCAACCUUGGACUUGCAGUGGUACGGGGCAGGCUAGAGUGCGGUAGGGGAGGAUGGGAAUUCCUGGUGUAGCGGUGGAAUGCGCAGAUAUCGAGGAGGAAACCACCAAGUGGCGAAGGCACAUCUC